Molecule: ribosomal RNA, 492 nt
Filed under: uncultured bacterium
Lineage: Bacteria
Description: bacterial SSU rRNA
Rfam family: Bacterial small subunit ribosomal RNA
Source: RNAcentral
AAAGGAAUUGACGGGGGCCCGCACAAGCAGCGGAGCAUGUGGUUUAAUUCGAAGCAACGCGAAGAACCUUACCUAGACUUGACAUCCCCUGAAUUACUCGUAAUUGAGGAAGUCCCUUCGGGGACAGGGAGACAGGUGGUGCAUGGUUGUCGUCAGCUCGUGUCGUGAGAUGUUGGGUUAAGUCCCGCAACGAGCGCAACCCUUAUCAUUAGUUGCUACCAUUUAGUUGAGCACUCUAAUGAGACUGCCCGGGUUAACCGGGAGGAAGGUGGGGAUGACGUCAAAUCAUCAUGCCCCUUAUGUCUAGGGCCACACACGUGCUACAAUGGUGAGUACAACAAGAUGCGAACCCGCGAGGGGGAGCUAAACUCAAAAACUCAUCUCAGUUCGGAUUGCAGGCUGAAACUCGCCUGCAUGAAGCUGGAGUUGCUAGUAAUCGCGAAUCAGAAUGUCGCGGUGAAUACGUUCCCGGGCCUUGUACACACCGCCCGU